Molecule: non-coding RNA, 24 nt
Filed under: Arabidopsis thaliana (thale cress)
Lineage: Eukaryota; Viridiplantae; Streptophyta; Magnoliopsida; Brassicales; Brassicaceae
Source: RNAcentral
CACCAUUGCUGCUGCUCUAAUGUC